This 911-nucleotide long non-coding RNA is filed under the name Setaria viridis. Its description in RNAcentral is "long non-coding RNA (SVIR_LNC003596)". Lineage: Eukaryota; Viridiplantae; Streptophyta; Magnoliopsida; Poales; Poaceae. The record is from RNAcentral.
AUGUUCCAGUGGUAGUUACUGAAACCAGGGAUAACACUAUACUCUGUGGCAGCAUAUGCAGAAUCCUCUAGAUUUUCUCUGCCUGCUUAGCUUCUGAGGACAGGUCAUCUUGUGUGGUCCUUUGAAUGGUGAUUGAUGGUGGAGAUUUUGAUUGAUGGUGGAGAUUUGGAUUUGUGCAGUAUCUGCUAGUAGGAUGAUGUGCUGCAGGUGGAAUGGAUAUUGUGAAGUACACUUGGUGCCUUUUGUGGUUUUGACUGAAAAUGCUGAUGCUGAUGCUUCUGCUUUGAGUCCUAAAGUUCAGUUGUUUUGAUAUUGCCUUUAUUUUGGGUGUGUCCAGAUGAAAUUAAGAAGAGAGGGGAACAUAGUUGAGUAACAGUCCUGGAAUAUGCACAGUGUUAUAAAGGAAAAUACAGAAUAGUACAAGAUCUUGGGACAAAAGCAACUGUCUGAUAACCUAAGGGUUCAAGUGAAUUGAUGAUACUUUGAUGCAUAUCUGAAAUCUGUUGAAUUGAAUAAGUAAUACAGUAUGGAUUCUUGAUAAAUCAAUCUCAGGCGUCAUUGCUUCAUUUUUUUUGAAGGUGCGCUGGGGGGAUGAAACCCCCUCCUGUAUUCAAUUAAACCACAGACUUCUGGCUACUGAAUUCAUCCUGUUGGCUUCCCAGCCUCUGCGCCAUGGGACAGGCCCUUGUUGCUUUGUAUGAUGAUUGAUGGUCAACGUUUGGAUUUGUGCAGCACCUGCUAGUAGGAUGAUGUGUUGUAUGUGGAAUGGAUAUAGUGAAGUACACUUGACGCCUUUUGUGGUGUUGUCUAAAAAAUGCUGGAGCUCCACUUGGAAUCCUAAAGUUGAGUUGUUUCAAGAUAUCCUUUAGUUUGGGUGUCUUCGGAUCAAAUAAAGGAGGGAGAAAAUAGUU